This 61-nucleotide ribosomal RNA is filed under the name Diplocarpon coronariae. RNAcentral describes it as "partial 28S ribosomal RNA". It matches the Rfam family "Eukaryotic large subunit ribosomal RNA", at positions 1 to 57 of the family's 3401-position model. Lineage: Eukaryota; Fungi; Ascomycota; Leotiomycetes; Helotiales; Drepanopezizaceae. The record is from RNAcentral.
CGGUUGACCUCGGAUCAGGUAGGGAUACCCGCUGAACUUAAGCAUAUCAAUAAGCGGAGGA